Molecule: long non-coding RNA, 1668 nt
Organism: Nycticebus coucang (slow loris)
Lineage: Eukaryota; Metazoa; Chordata; Mammalia; Primates; Lorisidae
Exons: 3
Source: RefSeq, a predicted model, not a curated record
CACUGCCCAUCACUCUCAAAACACCACCCAGGCCCCUGUCACAAGUACUUUCGCUCCAGCUGGCCUUAUAGUGUAUGAAACUAGUAUGAGAUCAAGUCAGAACCCUUUUUUCCCUUUUUUACUAGGGAAAAAAGUUUCUUUGUGGAUUAUAUAACCAGUUAUCAAAAUUUAAACAGCAAGUUACAAAAAUAGCAUCUUGGGGCGGCGCCUGUGGCUCAGUCGGUAAGGCGCCGGCCCCAUAUACCGAGGGUGGUGGGUUCAAACCCGGCCCCGGCUGAACUGCAACCAAAAAAAAAAAACAAAAUAGCCGGGCGUUGUGGCGGGCGCCUGUAGUCCCAGCUACUCGGGAGGCUAAGGCAGGAGAAUCGCUUAAGCCCGGGAGUUGGAGUUUGCUGUGAGCUGUGUGAUGCCAUGGCACUCUACCGAGGGCUAUAAAGUGAAACUCUGUCUCUACAAAAAAAAAAAAAAAACAGCAUCUUGACAAUGGCUGAGUUCUGACCAUGAGCUCUUACUUUUCUUGUUAGCAGCUAAAUCAGUUCUGUGCAACCAGGUUACUUAAGACUGUAUCUUUUUUACUUUGAAGGACAAAAUUUAUUGCACCUACCCUGUUUCCCUGAAAAUAAGACAUCCUCCGAAAAUAAGACGUCCCCUGAAAAUAAGACCUAGCGCAUCUUUGGGAGCACACCUUAAAAUAAGACACUGUCUUAUUUUCGGGGAAACAGGGUAGUACAAUUUUAUGGUACUAACACUCAAGGUGAUGAGCUAGGCAAAACUAGAAAGAGCAUUCAUCAUAUUUGUCAAAGCAGGGCAAACAGUGUGGGUGUUGAUCCCCAUAUGUGCACACCACACUCCUAGAGACGGGUGUGUCCUUUGCAAAUGCCUCAGCCUUCUUUCUGUUGCCCUCCAGAGGCCCAACCCUGAGGAAGACUGGCACACUGUGUUCACCUACCUGAGGAAAUACAUUUUUUAUUUCGUUGAUAAAAUAAGGUACAGGCUAGUCACCUAUGUGGGGGGUGGUUUUGUUUUGCUUUGUGAGAUGAUGUCUCACUCUGUCACUCAUACUGGAAUACAGUAGACCACUCACAGCUCACUGUAACCUUGAAUUCCUGGGUUCAAGCAAUUUCUCCUGCCUCAGACUCCCAACGUGCUGGAAUUACAGGCCUGAGCCACCACACCAAGUUUGGUGCCUUGUUUUUAUAAAGUUUUAUUGGAACACAGCCACACCCACUCCUUUCUGCCACAGCAGCAGAGUCUAAAAUAUUUACCAUCUGCCCUUUAAAAUACCAUUUGCCUACCUCUUCUGUAGAUCACGGGAAUUAUAUUUUAAUUGCAUUUUGUAGGAACUUAUUACUUUCCCCCUUUUCAGUUAUAUCUUCCAGAAGCCAAUUCUGAAUUAAUUGGAAAAAUAAUUUGGCCUCAAUGGAAUUUUCUGUUGGCCACAACUCCACUUAUGAAAUGAGCUACUGAAGUUUCCCUUCUCCUACCUAAAGCCAGUUGAAGAAUGCACAAUCUACUUGGAAAAAACACUCAAAUUACGAAAAGAAUUAGUAUAUCUCUUUAAAUUCAAGCCAUCUCAACACAGCAGAAGGCUCCCUGCCACCCCAGACGCCAGCGAAGGGCAGGGCGAGUGCUGGGAAAACUCACCGUGCCGUGUCCGUUGGCCUCAAA